UCAAAAACCCGGUUUCGUACUUUUUUAUUUUAGUACCCUGUGGUUUAAAGUGUAUGUAAGUACCCUGUGGUUUCGCACUUUCUCACUUUAGCACCCUGUGGUUUAAAGUGUAUCAAGUUAGUACUCUAUGAUUUUAUUUUUAUAUCAAGUUAGUACCAUGUGGUUUUAUUUUUGUAUCAAGUUAGUAUCCUGUGGUUUUAUUUUUUUCUUAAUAAAAUAUUAAACCACAACUCCACAAGGCACUAAAGUGAGAAAGUGCGAAACCACAUGGUACUAACUUGAUACAUUUCUACAAGAUACUAAAGUGAGAAAGUGCGAAACCAUAUGGUACUAACUUGAUAUACUUUAAACUACAGGAUACUAAA
This 365-nucleotide long non-coding RNA is filed under the name Ananas comosus (pineapple). RNAcentral describes it as "long non-coding RNA (ACOM_LNC027189)". The record is from RNAcentral. Lineage: Eukaryota; Viridiplantae; Streptophyta; Magnoliopsida; Poales; Bromeliaceae.